Molecule: transfer RNA, 69 nt
Filed under: Podarcis lilfordi (Lilford's wall lizard)
Lineage: Eukaryota; Metazoa; Chordata; Lepidosauria; Squamata; Lacertidae
Description: tRNA.Ala
Rfam family: tRNA
About the family: Transfer RNA (tRNA) molecules are approximately 80 nucleotides in length. Their secondary structure includes four short double-helical elements and three loops (D, anti-codon, and T loops).
Source: RNAcentral
GCUGUGGCACAGUGGUAGACCAUCUGCUUUGCAUGCAGAAGGUUCCAGGUUCAAAUUCUGGCAUCUCCA